This 692-nucleotide ribosomal RNA is filed under the name uncultured Pseudomonadota bacterium. Its description in RNAcentral is "bacterial SSU rRNA". It matches the Rfam family "Bacterial small subunit ribosomal RNA", at positions 28 to 709 of the family's 1533-position model. The record is from RNAcentral. Lineage: Bacteria; Pseudomonadati; Pseudomonadota.
AUUGAACGCUGGCGGCAGGCCUAACACAUGCAAGUCGAACGGUAACAGAAAGCAGCUUGCUGCUUUGCUGACGAGUGGCGGACGGGUGAGUAAUGUCUGGGAAACUGCCUGAUGGAGGGGGAUAACUACUGGAAACGGUAGCUAAUACCGCAUAACGUCGCAAGACCAAAGAGGGGGACCUUAGGGCCUCUUGCCAUCGGAUGUGCCCAGAUGGGAUUAGCUAGUAGGUGGGGUAAAGGCUCACCUAGGCGACGAUCCCUAGCUGGUCUGAGAGGAUGACCAGCCACACUGGAACUGAGACACGGUCCAGACUCCUACGGGAGGCAGCAGUGGGGAAUAUUGCACAAUGGGCGCAAGCCUGAUGCAGCCAUGCCGCGUGUAUGAAGAAGGCCUUCGGGUUGUAAAGUACUUUCAGCGGGGAGGAAGGGAGUAAAGUUAAUACCUUUGCUCAUUGACGUUACCCGCAGAAGAAGCACCGGCUAACUCCGUGCCAGCAGCCGCGGUAAUACGGAGGGUGCAAGCGUUAAUCGGAAUUACUGGGCGUAAAGCGCACGCAGGCGGUUUGUUAAGUCAGAUGUGAAAUCCCCGGGCUCAACCUGGGAACUGCAUCUGAUACUGGCAAGCUUGAGUCUCGUAGAGGGGGGUAGAAUUCCAGGUGUAGCGGUGAAAUGCGUAGAGAUCUGGAGGAAUAC